GAAAUGCGAUAAGUAAUGUGAAUUGCAGAAUUCAGUGAAUCAUCGAAUCUUUGAACGCACAUUGCGCCCGCCAGUAUUCUGGCGGGCAUGCCUGUCCGAGCGUCAUUUCAACCAUCAAGCCCCCGGGCUUGUGUUGGGGACCUGCGGCUGCCCGCAGGCCCUGAAAACCAGUGGCGGGCUCGCUGUCACACCGAGCGUAGUAGCAAUCACCUCGCUCAGGGCGUGCUGCGGGUUCCGGCCGUUAAACAGCCUUACAAAACCCAAGGUUGACCUCGGAUCAGGUAGGAAGACCCGCUGAACUUAAGG
Molecule: unclassified non-coding RNA, 306 nt
Filed under: plant metagenome
Description: partial contains 5.8S ribosomal RNA, internal transcribed spacer 2, and large subunit ribosomal RNA
Rfam family: 5.8S ribosomal RNA (bases 1-105)
Source: RNAcentral